This 1333-nucleotide long non-coding RNA is filed under the name Mustela putorius furo (domestic ferret). RNAcentral describes it as "lncRNA (ENSMPUG00000023919.1)". The record is from RNAcentral. Lineage: Eukaryota; Metazoa; Chordata; Mammalia; Carnivora; Mustelidae.
CUCAGGCUGUUGCUUCCGACAGAAAACCUGACAUCGGACCCUGCAUGCUCUGCGAUGCUCUUGAAUGUGUUUCGUGCAGAGGCCCACUCUGGCUCCGCCUGCACUCCAGCGAGUAGGGAACCGGCCAGAUCGCCUGGAAUCCAGCUGGGAAUUGGAAAGAAUCCUGAUUCAUCGGAGGGCCUGGGCUGCCAAGAAAAUUCUCUUGAAGGCUUUCUUUUCUUCAGCGGCUGCUUCCCAGGGUUUCCUGCAGUGUCAUUUGACAAUGUCGUGGAUGGACGGAGCAUGACCCCAUCAAGGAAGGGUGAAGCCAGGCGGUACAGGCUUGCCGAGAGGACAGAGUCAACCAAAAGGCGGGAAGGCUUUCUCAUAAAUUAAGGAAGGGGAUGCAGCAUCGCGUGUUGCAGGAGACGUCCCGCUUGCCUGAUGCCCGGCAGGGCCUGACCUUGGACCUAACCCGACGAGAUGAUGAGGCAAGAGCCAAGGGCCGGUCGUUCCGGCUGGCUUCCUCCAACCCAAUGCACACCAUGGUCGAGGUGGUGCGGAGUAAGGACUGCAGGCUGUCCCAGGCCACCUUCCCUGGCAUCCUGCCAGCCGUCACCCCGGUGGUCGACAAAGCCACUGGCCUCUGUCUGGCGUGCGUCUCCGCGUCAGCACAGCCGUCCCGGACCCGGGCCAGGCCUCUCGGUCUCCUGAACCUGAUCGCACAAUGGUUCUCCUGCUAUUGCCCGCAUUAAACAAAAAAAAAAAAAGUGUAUCUAUAGCAUAACAACCUUGAGUACGUUCUUGAGAAAGUCAAUGCCCUCCUGAGCCCUCUGCCCAACUCAAGGGUCUCCUCCUGGGCCCCUCCCCUCCCUGCCUCUCUGCGGCACCCAACCUCUCCUGCUCGCCCGCUUGCCUGUUCUCAGCUGGCUUCUAUCUAAUCAAGUGAGAGGCCGUGGAGUUAGCUUCUCCCUGGCUCCCUGGCACACCCUCGAGCACCCCGAUCUUCCCGCCGGCUGCCUGUCUCCCUCUACGCCCCCGCCAGCCUGGGUUCUGGGGACACUCCUCCUUUGGCCAGGACCCCAGCUGCUUCCAUCCGUCCUGCGACCCCUCUUGUGGCACGCUUCGGCCACUUGCCGGCCUCUGGGCCACGACCCGAGCACUCCCGGCCCCUUCCCCCAACUUCAGGAAACCGGCCAUCCCUUGACAGGUGCCACGAACUGGCUUUUUUAAAGAAAAUUAUUACUUUAAAAGCAAUAUCAGAAAGGGGUGUCUGGGCUGUGGGAUGGUGGACCACGGGCUCUUUUCCUCUUUCUACUUGUUAUUAAAGAAAGUGAAUCCUGUUUCUGACAUU